Molecule: ribosomal RNA, 479 nt
Filed under: uncultured bacterium
Lineage: Bacteria
Description: partial 16S ribosomal RNA
Rfam family: Bacterial small subunit ribosomal RNA
Source: RNAcentral
GACGAACGCUGGCGGCGUGCUUAACACAUGCAAGUCGAACGGUAAGGCCCUUCGGGGUACACGAGUGGCGAACGGGUGAGUAACACGUGGGUGAUCUGCCCUGCACUUUGGGAUAAGCCUGGGAAACUGGGUCUAAUACCGAAUACACCCUGCUGGUCGCAUGGCCUGGUGGGGGAAAGCUUUUGCGGUGUGGGAUGGGCCCGCGGCCUAUCAGCUUGUUGGUGGGGUGAUGGCCUACCAAGGCGACGACGGGUAGCCGGCCUGGGAGGGUGACCGGCCACACUGGGACUGAGCUACGGCCCAGACUCCUACGGGAGGCAGCAGUGGGGAAUAUUGCACAAUGGGCGCAAGCCUGAUGCAGCGACGCCGCGUGAGGAUGACGGCCUUCGGGUUGUAAACCUCUUUCAAUAGGGACGAAGCGCAAGUGACGGUACCUAUAGAAGAAGGACCGGCCAACUACGUGCCAGCCGCCGCAGUAA